ACACCUCAACUCUCAUGUUCCACCAUGAUGAGUUUGGACUUUGGAGGUCUUGCUGGCCAGCGGCCAGCUCCUCUCAAGUGAAUCAGCUUGCCAGUGUUUGGCGGCAUCACAGGUGUGAUAACUAUCUACGCUUGUGGUUUCCUGCCAGGUGUCCCUUCAGCAAUGGAGGUCCACUGGAGCUCAUAAAUGUCUCUCCACAGAGAGGACAGCUUCUUGAAU
RNAcentral lists this unclassified non-coding RNA (219 nucleotides) under uncultured Tomentella. Its description in RNAcentral is "sequence contains ITS2". The record is from RNAcentral. Lineage: Eukaryota; Fungi; Basidiomycota; Agaricomycetes; Thelephorales; Thelephoraceae.